GUAGGUGAACCUGCGGAAGGAUCAUUACCGAGUUCGUGCCCUCGCGGGUAGAUCUCCCACCCUUUGUAUACUAUACCUUUGUUGCUUUGGCGGGCCGCCUAGCUACUGGCUUCGGCUGGUGAGUGCCCGCCAGAGGACCCCAAACCCUGAAUAUUAGUGUCGUCUGAGUAAAAUUUUAAUAUUUAAAACUUUCAACAACGGAUCUCUUGGCUCUG
This 215-nucleotide unclassified non-coding RNA is filed under the name rhizosphere metagenome. RNAcentral's name for it is "partial ribosomal RNA internal transcribed spacer region". The record is from RNAcentral.